GUUCCAGUUGUUUCUUAUUUUUACAUUAAAAUGAUAUGUAUUUUUAACAAAGUUAUCUAACAAAUAGUCUGUUAAGAGUAGUUUUCUCUCUUGGUAUAUUUUUUCUGUCUACUGUCCAUCUGUUGUCAUUAUCGUGAAAAUGCGGAUUUUUGUCAUAUCUGGUCCGGUUCCGAUCCGUAGUUUACACAAAAUUGUGCAAUGGCGGCCGUAGAAAAAUUUACGAAAAUGAGUCCGAGAAUAAACAUUGUUUGACAAGAGAUUGUGAAUGAAUAAGACGCUUUUAAUGCAUUAAAUGGAUUAAACAUAAACUUAAGCCAAUU
RNAcentral lists this long non-coding RNA (320 nucleotides) under Mytilus galloprovincialis (Mediterranean mussel). Lineage: Eukaryota; Metazoa; Mollusca; Bivalvia; Mytilida; Mytilidae. The record is from RNAcentral.